Molecule: non-coding RNA, 372 nt
Organism: Melozone crissalis (California towhee)
Lineage: Eukaryota; Metazoa; Chordata; Aves; Passeriformes; Passerellidae
Source: the annotation of a RefSeq genome assembly
AUGGUGCCACCAUCGCUCCAGAUCGCUGCCACCCACUCCAGCUCCUGCCCGGGUCUCUGGCGCGCCCACAACAUGGCGGCCGUGACCCUGCUAGAGUGCGGGGGGGACCUCCAGCCCCCCGGGGGAUCCCUGACGUUGCUGUGCCGAGGGGCCGGGUUCGAUUUUAGCAAUUUUGGGAUGGCCUGGAUCCGCCAGAGACCUGGGCAGGGGCUGGAGUGGGUCGGAACCAUCACCAGCAGUGGUGGCAGCGCCUGGUACGCGGAUUCCGUCAAGGGCCGGUUCAGGAUCUCCAGGGACAACGGGCAGAGCUCGGUGAUGCUGACCAUGAACAACCUCAAGGACGAGGAUUCCGGAUCCUAUUUCUGCGCCAAG